AAGCAAGUGGCGAAAUUGGAAGUCGCUCCGUCUGGUUGGCAGGAUUAGGAUACGUUCGAGUCGUACAUUCACUUUGGCUUGUGACUAAAUGCAGGUUCGAGUCCUGCCUUGCUUUCA
Molecule: transfer RNA, 117 nt
Filed under: Caudoviricetes sp.
Lineage: Duplodnaviria; Heunggongvirae; Uroviricota; Caudoviricetes
Description: tRNA-Pro
Rfam family: tRNA
About the family: Transfer RNA (tRNA) molecules are approximately 80 nucleotides in length. Their secondary structure includes four short double-helical elements and three loops (D, anti-codon, and T loops).
Source: RNAcentral